This 23-nucleotide small nuclear RNA is filed under the name Arabidopsis thaliana (thale cress). Its description in RNAcentral is "snRNA_12492". Lineage: Eukaryota; Viridiplantae; Streptophyta; Magnoliopsida; Brassicales; Brassicaceae. The record is from RNAcentral.
GAGUUUUCUGGUGGAUGAAAAUG